GCCAGCAUGGUGUAGUGGUUUGAGCAUUGGGCUACAACUCCGGAGAUUGGGGUUCGAUUCCCUGCUUGCC
Phrynosoma platyrhinos (Desert horned lizard) is the source of this 70-nucleotide non-coding RNA. The record is from the annotation of a GenBank genome assembly. Lineage: Eukaryota; Metazoa; Chordata; Lepidosauria; Squamata; Phrynosomatidae.